Molecule: long non-coding RNA, 9002 nt
Filed under: Manihot esculenta (cassava)
Lineage: Eukaryota; Viridiplantae; Streptophyta; Magnoliopsida; Malpighiales; Euphorbiaceae
Description: long non-coding RNA (MESC_LNC004878)
Source: RNAcentral
CUCAGUUUACAUUACAUCAUGUCCACUCUAAAAUGCUAAGCUAUUACAUAAGCCUGACAUUUACCCUUGACGUCUUCCUGGACUACCUCUGACCUGCAAACCUAGGGUUAGGGGAGAGGGGUGAGCUAAAAAGCCCAGUGAGUAGAAACAAUAAAAACAGUUCAUUAAUUACAUGCUUUUAUUAAAUGCGUCACAGCACAAACAAUUCACAUCACGGAUUGGACAUGACCUCCAAAGCUCCCUCUAUCGGUGCCCGGCCCCCAAAAGAGCUCACACAGGACUUUCAUUACAUAACAUGGUGCCCAGCCCCCGAAGGAGCUCACACAAGACUUUCUACAUGGUGCCCGGCCCUCAAAGGAGCUCCACAGGACUUCUCUUAUCAUGACAGAUCGUGGGCCAUUGGGGUCGCCUUGGUCCAUCCACAUCAACAGUAAAUAAUGCAAUGUGUCAUAUUCGUUUGCAAUCAACCUAUUACAUAUAAACAUGAUGCAUGAACAUGCUUUAGGCAUUUGAUUUCGUAAAAUAAAAGAUUAAGUUUAGUUCUACUCACCUCUGGCAGACGCUGGACUGACUCUGCAACAGCUAACACUGAUGGCCUUCUCGGUCCCUCGGGUCCGAUCCUACACAGGUGGACUUGAAUGAGAUGCCAAACACACUCUAAACAACUCAUAAACAACUCCCCAAAAACUCCCUAAAACAUCACCAAAGCAUGCAUAGAAAACGCCCAUAAAAGGGCUGGACAGAGCACUUUCGGCGGCACCUUCGGCGGUCGAAAGUCUCUUCCAGAGCCGAAAGCCAUGCAGCUUCGGGGGCACUUUCGGUGGCCGAAAGUCCUUCCAGAGCCGAAAGUCUGGCACCUUCGGCGGCAGGUUCGGCGGCCGAAGCCUCUCACAGAUCCGAAAUUCCUGGCCUUCGGGGGCACGUUAGGCGGCCAAAGCUGCCUUCCAUGCAGGGUUCGGCGGCCGAACUUGGUCCCCUCUAAACAGCAGGUCCGAAUCUGUCACAAGCAAAACCAACCUCCAAACCACCCAAAACCUCACAUGCUCUCACCCAAACAUGCAAAUACACUCCCACAUGCAUAUAGGGGCAUAAACUAACUUAAAACCCCAACACAAACAUCACAUUAACAUACAUUGGGCAUAAAACCCACAUAAACCCUAACAUGCAUAUCUACCCAUACUCAACCAUCAAAACUUCUUUAAACUUACUUAAAACUUCAUUAAAACACAAAGGAAGCAAAGAUCUACACUUACCUCUUGAAGAUCGAGGGUUGGUGCGAUCCCUAACUUGGAGAUGUGGAGGAAACAAGCUCCUUGGGUCUCCAAGUUCCAAAACUUCGAUCUAAGCUUUAAAACUCUUCAAAACAACCAUGAAACUCAUAAAAACAUGAAGGAGUUGAAGAAAAAGCAUGAAAACGACCAAAGGAGGACAUGAAUACACCUGAGCUCGAGAAUAGGGAGAAAACUCGCCCAUUUUCGGUCUGAGGGCCUUUUAUAGGUGGCCGGUCAACGACCUUCGGCGGCCUAAGUUGCUCCCGCAACUCCACCACCUUCGACAGCCACUUCGGAAGCCUAACCUGCCUCCUAAACCAACCCAUGUUCGGCAGCCGAACUUGGGGUUCGGCGGCCGAACCUGAUCUCUGCCCUCAAGACUUUCGGAAGCCUAAAGCACUCCCGAAACAGCACUAUGUUCAGCGGCCGAACUUGAGGUUCGGCGGCCGAACCUGGGUUCCUCCUCCUUGGCCUUUUCUUUUCGAAACUCAAUUUCUUUUCCAUUUAAAACCAUAAAAUCAUGUGAAAACAUUUUAAAAAAAUAUAUUUUACCCCUCUAGAAGACUCUGACAUCUUCAAAAUUCCAGAUUCCAACGGAGAUUCCGCCGGAAGGUAGGGAUUCCGAUGACGGAAUCUAGCCGGGUAUUACAAUAUGAGUUAUAGUGGAUUAUCUAUUUGCUCAAGGAAUUUCUUAUCAAACAUUCUCUUCACAUUCCUCUUCACUACGACAAUAAAGUGGCUCAAUACAUCGCUGCUAAUCCAGUUUUUCAUGAACAGAUGAAACAUUUUGAAAUCGAUUGCCACAUUAUGCGCAAUCUGGUCUCAUUAGGCCUUCUUCAAACUAAACAUGUCCUUUCAAAACAACAAAUAACGGAUUUGUUUACUAAACCCCUCGAAAGAUUAGAGUUUUACUUCCUAUUGUCCAAAAUAGGUCUCCAGAAGCUUUAGUUGUAACGCCCCGAAAAUCGGACCGCUACCAGCGCUAGGAUCCGGGUCGACUUAAGGCCGCCGGGACCCGUAGCAAGCCUGACAUAAGACCUGAAAACCUGUAUAAUCCCAUACAUGAUCAACAACAUACAUAAAAAUUAAAACUUUUCUUUUCAUAAACAUCCACCAAACUCAACCUGUGCAUACUCUGAUCAUAUACAUANNNNNNNNNNNNNNNNNNNNNNNNNNNNUCCUCCAAUGCUAUUUUCAUGCAAAAACUCAUUUUAUUUAAUACUUAAAACCAUUAAAAACAUGAAAACAUUUCAUAAAAACAUGAUUCUACCCUUCUAGAGGUCUCCGACAUCCGAGAUUCCACCGGACGAUAGGAAUCCCGAUACCGGAGUCUAGCCGGGUAUUACAUUAGUGGCCUCCAUCUUAAAGGUGGGCUAAAAGAUAAAAGGGUGUGCAAAGGAUUAUAUUAAAUGGUAUGGUUUGGAGUCAAAACAUUGUGUAUAGAAAGUUGAAUUUGAAUAGGCUUGAGCUCUUUGUUGUAUAUUGUUUUAGUCUUAGUGUUUUAGUGUAACAAAAUAAUAAUAGAUAUAUAUACUCUAGAAUUUUCUUUUUUGUGUGUAAAUAUCUCAACAAAAUUUAUCAAUAUAUAUGUAAUUUUUAUUUAAUUACACAUUAUUUUGUUUGCUCACAUAUCACAUAUAUCUAUUGAAAGGAGCGGCUUGUGGAGCACUUCCUUCUCAUUAGAAUCUAUCAUUUUUUGAGGUUGUUCUAGAGCUUAGCCCGUAAUCCUUUGAGUUGAUUGUGAAUUUUUUUUUCAUUUUCUUUAUGUGACAUUGAGGUUCAAUGCUUGGUUUUGAUUCCUCAAUGGUCUUCAUGUAUUGGUUGGCAACUCAAAAUCUUUAUGCGAGAUGUGUUUAGAGGCUUUCUAACCCAGAAAACUGCAACACACCUUCUCAUCCCUGUAUGUGAGGUUGUAUAUGGUUAUUAGAUUUUUUUUUCUUUUUUUGUUAUCUUGCCUACAGUGGUAGGCUACUUGGGUUAUCUUUUCUCUUAAACUUUAUUUGUAUAGUCUUUAUGGUUAUUGUUAGAGAUCCAUUCAAGCCCUAGCGGUGGUUUUCUCCUUUGAUAGCCAAAAGUUUUCAACGAGAGAGUCUUGAGGAUCCCUACAACCGAGUCUUUCCUGGAUUAGAUUUUUGUUUCAGAUAGUUAACCCUCUAAAGUUCGUAUUGGCCUUCACUUUAUUCCUUUUGUUAUAGACCUUAGUUUUACAUUAUAUUUAGGUUUUGAACUUUUAUAUUUAAUCAAAUACUAUUUUUGCGAAAAUCAAAAAGAAAAAUUUAAAAUUUAAAAACUAAAUACUUAAAAUAAUGUUUUUCAAAGAUGGUUUUUCAUUAAAAAAAAAAAAGAAAUUGCGAACAUAAUUUCAUAUUUCUUAUUAGAGAAAAGUAUAAAAAAAUAUAAUGUGAUUUCAUUAAUUUUUCACCUCAAAUCUGUAAUUGAACUUGUAUUAAAAUAAUACCUCAUAAUAUGAUUUUUACAUCAGAUUUUCUAACAUCAUCUGAAAAUUCUACUGUUUAUUAAUGGCGUGAUAUUACGCGAUAUUAUUUUAACAUAAAUUGAAUCACAAAUCUUAAAGUGAAAUUAAGAAAAAUUAAAUAGUAUUUUUUUAUAUUUUUUCUUAAAAAUAUUUAAAAAUAUUAAUUAAUAAUUAUAUUUUACUUAUAAUGUUAACAUUUUUUGAUAAUAUCUAAAAAUUAUUAUUGUUAAUGGUAUAAUAAUAUAAAAUAUUAUUUUGAUAGCAGUUAGAUUUCAGAUACCCAAACCACAGUUGAUCCUAUAAGGGAAGACUAGGCUACAAACCUGUGAGAGCCCAACACGCCAAUCUACCCAUGUAAGUGCGGUCUAGACCCAUGCCAACAGGACGGACAGAGCAGGGUUUGGAUCUAAUUGAGAGGGAUCUAGCUCAACUGACUUGAUGGGUCAGUAGGGCAACAGACCUCUAUACAUCCGGGAUCAUAUUAACACGGGUGCCAAAAGGAAUUAAAUGGCCGCAUAACGAUGGAAAAAGAGGCAGUACGUUCAUACAUACAGCCAUGCGUGACAACGACAUGUUAUACUAUAAUAGGAUGGUAGUUACACGUCACUAAAGGACAAAAGAGAAAAAAGAAUAAAGGAAGGGGACAUGAGCAAUUCAGGCUUAGUGGACACACACAUACCCUAAUCCAACCUUCUAUUGGAUCUUAGAAUAUCAAUUGAUGUUGUCUGUGGAAAUAAAGAAGAUCUUUUCAUCACCGAAGUUCUCAUCCUCAUCAUACCCACUAAGAUCCAUAUGGUCAAUCACGGCAAAAACCACACCGGAAACACCCCAAAUGACCUGAGUUCUACUCAAGAAGGACCACCGUUUUCAUUUUCCAGCCCUACCGCCCCACUAAACCAACCACCUUUGUUUAACCUUUCACCAAACUCGGCAGGGACCAUGCCUCGAACUACCCUAUCUCACCAUGAGUUACAAAAUAUGGCUUUCCAACUCUAAAACACUACUCAUUGGCUAGGGCAGAUGCUGCAGCAAAGAGGACUCAAUACCCCAUUGAGCAUACCAUUAGUAGCUGAAGGAUUCAAUGUCAAUGAGUCCCAACCCACACUAAACCGUAAAACCCCUCAACAAAGCAGUAGGAGGACGAGUGAUGUAGACAGAGGGGCCAGCAGGAGAAACAAGCCUAUGGCCAGAAUAAAAGGCCGAGUAGUAAGGGAGCUCAUCGAGAAUGAUGGAGUCAAAAGCUAUUCUUCUGAGUCUGUAGAAAGGUCAGAAAGUGAAGAGCUGCAAAGAAACUAUCGCCUAAAAAAAAGGCCAAGGAGAGAAGAGGUAGAUGUAGAUCAGAAGCUAGAAAGGCUGAAGGAGCAACUCCUAGCAGAGAUGGAGGCGCAGGACAACAGUAGCCCCCUACUAUCAACUUUAUCCUCGUUCGUGAGAUGGAUACAGCAGGAAACCAUCCUUAAAAAGUUCAUGAUGCUGACAAUCACCGCAUACAACGGUACAGGGAACCCCCGAGAGAACGUCUUGAACUACAAGUCGUUCAUGGAGCUUCAGACUCACUCGAAUGCCCUGAUGUGUAAAUUCUUUCCCACCACCCUUACCAAACCGGCCCAAGCAUGGUUCAAUAGUCUGGAAGCAGAAACCAUCAAAAGCUUUAUGGACAUAGCCAGUGUGUUUAUCAGCAGAUUUAUCGCCAUGAUCCCAGUAGAAAGAAAAACAAGCUACUUGGAAACAGUCCGGCAGAGGAGGAACGGGUCCCUGAGGGAAUACGUGGCUAGGUUCAACUGGGAGGCUCUGCAAAUCCUUGAGCUCAAUGAAGCCAGGGCAAUAGAAGUCAAGCAAAAGGGAAGCACCUACCCGAAGUUUUUGGAUCAUUGUGCAGAAAGCCACCUACUACCCUGGCAGAGCUGAUGAAGAGAGUAGAAAAAUACAUAAGGCAGAAGGAUGCCUUAACCACUGGCAGAUUUGCCAGGGAAGCAGGAGACAGGGGAAAGGCUAUGGAGGACAAACGGUUAGACAGACAAGAGAGGAGACAAAAUCAGGGGCUUGAAGCAUUAAACAGACACCAAUGGGAGAGGAAGAAGCAGAGACCCUACCAGCCCCAAAUUCUUGAGGUGAUUACUUCCCUGAAUAUGUUCACAGCUGAGGUGCUAGUAGCUGCCCAAGACAAUGACUUCAUAUAGUGGCUCAAGCCAAUGAGGGCAGACGCGAACAGGAAGGACCCGAAUAACUACUAUUAGUACUACCGGACUAAUGGCCACGACACCAAUGACUGUUAUCAAUUAAUAAAUGAGAGAAAAAGGCUCAUCAAAAGGGGACAUCUCAGAAAUUUUAUAAAAAAGCCAAAAGGUCAGAGACCAUGGCAAAACGCACCGGCGAAAAGGCCCCAAAGACAGAUAGGAGGACCAGUGAAUGACGGCUCCAGCGGAACAAUCAACAUGAUCAUGGAAGGAACUGGGGUUGUAUGAGCAGAAGGGGAAAGAAGAGAAAUAGGAAUGGGGAAGGGAGCAGUGCUGAAAUUACACAAAUAGUGGAGCAUUCCCCAAUAACCAUCUCCUUCUCUCCGGAGGACACCUAGGGAGUGUAGAUGCCCCAUGAUGGCGCUCUGGUCAUAGAAGCCAUCGUUCAAAAAGUUCUAGAUGACGACAGCAAGGUGAACCUACUUCCCUACCAGGUCUUCCAGCAAAUGAACAUACCAAAGCAACAGUUGGUCUUGGACUAAGCCCCAAUUAAGGGAAUAGGAGGGAAUCCAGUGGCAGUGGAGGGGAAGAUAAAGGUAGCCCUCACCUUAGGAGAACCGCCCCUAUCCCGAACUCACUACGUAGUGUUCCUUGUGGUAAAGUUGUCUCUGAGUUAUAAUGCCAUGUUGGGAAGACCAAUGAUGUAUGACUUUGAAGUAGUGACCAACAAUCAGUAUCAAACCAUGAAAUUCCUAACAGAAGUAGGGGUGCGGUAGUUCAGGGAAGAUAGUAGGAAGCUAGAGCUGUAUACCUGACCACGAUAGAGGAGCCAAGCACCUAGCUAGAAGAGAUAAACACUGAAGUCAUAGAGGUCCAGGAUGAAAAGAAAGAGGCUAGGACUGAACCAGUAGUUAAGCUGUAGACCUUCCCACUGUCUGAGGAAGAAAGCGGCAAGGUCUUCAGCAUCAACUCGGGCCUUGAAAAGGACCAAAAGAGGCAGCAAUGGCUCUGAUCAGAGGACAUGCCUCAAGCUUCGCCUGAAAGCCUUCAGACAUGCUAGAGAUCAAUCCUGAGGUGAUGACCCACAAAUUGAACAUUCUUCCUAGGGCCAAGCUGGUAAAGCAGAAGAAGGGGGUGUUUAGGAAGGAGAAGCAAUAGGCCACGAGAGAAGAGGUGCAAAAACUAGAGGAAGCCGAGUUUAUUAGAGAAGUCAUGUACCCACAGUGGUUAGCUAACCCUGUGCUAGUAAAAAAGGCUAAUGAGCAAUAUAAAAUAUGUAUAGACUUCACUAAUUUAAAUCAGACCUGCUCAAAAGAUUAUUAUCCCCUCCCAGAUAUUAAUAAAAUGGUUAACUCUACAGCUAGUUUUGAUUACUUGUCGUCCCUAGAUGCUAUGUCAGGAUACCACCAGAUCCCUAUGGACAGGUCAGAUGAAGAAAAGACCUCUUUCAUAACUGAAGAUGGGACGUACUGCUAUAGGGCUAUGCCUUUUGGGUUGAAAAACACCGGGGCAACAUAUUAGCGGCUAAUGAAUAGGAUCUUUAAGGAUCAAAUAGGAAGAAAUGUGGAGGUCAAACCUUCCAAUAACACUUGGCUGACUUGGAAGAGGUCUUUAGAGUAUUACAGCAGUACAAGAUGAGGUUGAAACCAACAAAGUGUGCUUUCUUUAUUAGAAGGGGAAAAUUUCUAGGCUACAUGGUCAGUAGAAAGGGUAUAGAACCGAACCCAGAGAAAGUAGAGGCUAUACUAACAAUGCCUAAGCCAACUUGUGUAAAGGAUGUACAGAGGCUUACAGGAAGGGUGGUGGCCUUCAACCGAUUCAUGUCCAAAUCAGCAAAAAGAUGUCUGGCUUUCUUCAAAAAGCUAAGGAAGGUCUCAAACUUUGAAUGGAUAGAGGAUUUUUAGUAAGCCUUCAAAAUCUCAAGUAGUACCUCAGCUCCCUGCAUGUGUUUAGCAGCCCCUUAGCAGGAGAGGAACUCUUAAUUUACUUGGCUGCAUCUAAACAGGCAGUGAGUGCCAUGCUGGUAAGAGAGGAAACAGGGGUUCAGAAGCCUACUGACUCGCGGUUAUCGAAGCCGGUCAAAAAUAACCUUUCUGGUUAUCAACAAUCUUACAACUGUAGAUAGUGGUGAAAUAAUCGAAUCCACAGAGAAUUGAUAACUUACCUAUCUUCCUUAUCAAGACUAAGAAAAUAAACUGAAAGAAAAUAACUAAAAGCGAAAUAAACGGAAUGCGAAACAAACUGAAAGCGAAACAAACUGAAAGCGAAUAAAUUGAAAUGAGAUAAAUCUGAAACCAACUAAACUGAAAGUAAAAUUGGGGGUUUUGAGAUUGAUUCAAAAGAUCUAAAACUGAAAGCAAUAAAAGAAGCAAAUAGUAAAAAAAAUAAAGAGAAAUCAAAUAUGAGAAAGAUCUAGUUGAAGAGUUGGAUCCACUUCAGUUAUUGGGAUUGAUCAUUGACACUUAGUUUCCCUUGAUAGAUUCAAUAGAUUAGUUAUGGAGAUGGCAGACGCUUCUCACCACCAUGUCUCUCCUUAAUCAUAAACCAAUUAGGGAACGUCCUCUAAUUAAUUACUAAUCAACAAGUUGCCAAGGAACGUCCUUGGGCCUUAGGCAUCAAAACAACUGUCAAUUUGCAUUAAGAAAUAGAGAGAUCCAAUCCUAGCUACCCAAACGCAUGGAGAUGUUGCUAGAUCAUACAAUUUCCUUAGUUUUUACACCAAGUGUUCUUGUGUUUGAAUAAUCCAAGCAAUUACGGACUCAAAAUUAUUCAGCCUAACACUAUAUUACCUUGCAAUCAAAAAUCAAGUGGCCACAUUGAUCAUAAUAACAAAGCAAUAAUGGAAUCAAGUAUGAAAUUGUAUAAAUAUUGAAUAACCAAAAGAUAAACAACUUAUGUUCAGAUCUCACAAUCCAUAAAACAACCAAAGUUUCAACCAAUCUUCAACUAGAAUAAAAGAUUUCAGCCUAUCAUGGCUGAACCAAAACAGAAAAUAAAAGAAAAGAAAGAAGAAAGAUGAAGAAGAAACCGAUUGGAGAGCUUGGAGAACCUUGCGCCCUUCUUGGCCGAAUGGGGAAC